RNAcentral lists this unclassified non-coding RNA (219 nucleotides) under uncultured Thelephoraceae. RNAcentral describes it as "sequence contains ITS2". The record is from RNAcentral. Lineage: Eukaryota; Fungi; Basidiomycota; Agaricomycetes; Thelephorales; Thelephoraceae.
ACACCUCAACUCUCAUGGUUUGCCAUGAUGAGCUUGGACUUUGGAGGUCUUGCUGGCCUGUGGUCGGCUCCUCUCAAACAAAUCAGCUUGCCGGCGUUUGGUGGCAUCGCGGGUGUGAUAAAUAUCUACGCUUGCGGUUUCUGCCAGAUAACCUUUCAGCAAUGGAGGUUUCGCCGGAGCUUAUAAACGUCUCUCCUCGGUGAGGAUGGUGCUCUGAAC